AGUAACACGUGGAUAACCUACCUAUAAGACUGGGAUAACUUCGGGAAACCGGAGCUAAUACCGGAUAAGAAAGCGGAUCGCAUGAUCAGCUUUUAAAAGGCGGCGUAAGCUGUCGCUAUGGGAUGGCCCCGCGGUGCAUUAGCUAGUUGGUAAGGUAAAGGCUUACCAAGGCGAUGAUGCAUAGCCGAGUUGAGAGACUGAUCGGCCACAUUGGGACUGAGACACGGCCCAAACUCCUACGGGAGGCAGCAGCA
RNAcentral lists this ribosomal RNA (254 nucleotides) under uncultured Lactobacillus sp. RNAcentral describes it as "partial 16S ribosomal RNA". It matches the Rfam family "Bacterial small subunit ribosomal RNA", at positions 109 to 355 of the family's 1533-position model. The record is from RNAcentral. Lineage: Bacteria; Bacillati; Bacillota; Bacilli; Lactobacillales; Lactobacillaceae.